CCCAAUAUCAUAAAAACUACUGUGAUAUCAUGUACUAAUGUUAUAUAUACGUACACACACACACACAUAUAUAUAUAUAUAUAUAUGCAUGCCCAGGUAGAUUCGUACUGAUCAAAUGGACGUUAGAAUUUGUCAAUGAAAGGGCUGCUGCUAAUCAAACAAAAUUCAGAAGUUUAGGGUUUAAUUGAGUGGAAACUUUAUACAAUGACUUGUAAUCUUGUUGAUUGAUGAAGUAAUAACACCAUAGAUAAUAUAUUACAACAUUAUCAAUGUUAUUAUUGAUAAAACUCAACGAGAAUAAAAUAAUAUAAAAAUAAAUUCGAAGAACCAGAAGAUAAAAAAUUAGAUAUUAAUAUAAAAUUUUCAAACUAACUGUUCAGUUUUAAAUAAACAAAAUAAUGUGCAUAAAUUUCUUACAAAUUAUGUAUAACAUUUAUCAGUCAUUUGAGAUAAUAAGUAUAAUUAAUAAUUAUGAUAAAAAUAAAUAAAUAUUAAAUUAAAUUUAAAAUUUUAAUUAUUAUAAAAUAAAGAAUAAUAGAUCCACAAAUUAAGGAGUUAGAGAUUGUAGAUUCAAACUUUAAAAUGUAUUUCUUGGAAAGAGGAACAGGAAGGAGUAAAUGUAAAAGUGAGGUAGAGGCUACAGAAUGGUCUGGAAGGAUGUAAAAAACUGACAAGGACAAUACUUACCUCUGCCUCCUACAUUUUCUUCUUUUGCUUCUUUGCUUUUCGGAAGAGGAUC
Molecule: long non-coding RNA, 739 nt
Filed under: Carica papaya (papaya)
Lineage: Eukaryota; Viridiplantae; Streptophyta; Magnoliopsida; Brassicales; Caricaceae
Description: long non-coding RNA (CPAP_LNC012109)
Source: RNAcentral